CAUGUUUUUGCAUGCUUGCAUGCAUGUUUGACACACCGUGUGCAUGCAGUGAUUUGUGGUUGAGCAACAACAAAUGGUUGUGGCCUUGUUUACGGAAGCGAUGUGGCUUUUUAACCGGCCACGGAUACCAUCAUAUCGCCUCUCGGCGCCUACACUGCGACAUAGCCCGGCUGUAGACUGGCUGCUUUUCAAAAUUUCAAUCAUGCUGACGGGCAUUUCCAUGGUGGUGCUUGGUCAUUACAUUACAUGCGUGAUCUAUGCGGUGCAUCAACCCGACGUGCAGAGGCCCCUCCUCAACACCAUGCUUGCGUCCUUGUGGGAACGACGGACACUCAACCGCCCCAGCCUACGGCUGUGCGUGGUUGCUUUGUUGUCGCGUUCUCAGAACCGGUUGUAGUUGCAGCAGGUGUGGUGAGGGCGUAAUAAAGCAGAAUGACCUUUUCGGGGAUUUUGGUGUGAGUUUACACCCGUGCAUGGGGCAUGCAUAUGCGCGGGGCUUGCAUGCAUACCGUGCUCGACAAGGUGCCGGGCACAAGGGGGCACUACCGGGCCCAGGUGGGGAUGCCGCACGAACAAUAAACAGGGAGGACACGUUGGCGCCCAUCAUGCAUGCAGUCGUGUUCGCGCGUUGGCCUUGCCGAGCACUUGUUGUGUGUGCGGACGAAGGAAGAUUCACGGUCAAAGGCAGGCUGGUAAGUGCAGAAUCCCAUUGGCCAGGGGCCCGUUGCAGGUGCGCCUUGAGCAAACACGUUCCAUUUUCUUUGGUCCGGCGCCCUGAGUGCGGUGUCUGCGUAAGCUCGAAGUGCGUUCGUGCCAGUGUGCGGCAAGCUGCAGUUUCACCACCCUAGUGGCGCUUGUUGAGAUGACGUAAGUUGUGAGGUCUCGGACAAAUGCGCUCUGCCUCGGGCCGAGGCGGCGUGGUGUGAGGCUGAUGUGCCGCGGGCGGGCGGCGCGGGGCCGGGGAGGACCGUGAACGGGUGCUGCGUUGGGGUAGCGACAGUGCACGUUGCUGGUGCAGGUGUGGGGCACGCCGCCCCCAUGGAUGGCUACCCCCCCACCACCACCACCACCAUGCCCGGCCACGUGCCAAACGCUCAGUGGCAGUGCAACGUUAGGGUGGCAGCGUUAGGCGCUGAGAUGCAUGAUGGCGGCUGGCGAGCAGCAGGCAGGACAAACGCACACACCGCCGCGUGAGCAGGCAGCGUGCGAGAGGG
RNAcentral lists this long non-coding RNA (1214 nucleotides) under Chlamydomonas reinhardtii. RNAcentral describes it as "long non-coding RNA (CREI_LNC000038)". The record is from RNAcentral. Lineage: Eukaryota; Viridiplantae; Chlorophyta; Chlorophyceae; Chlamydomonadales; Chlamydomonadaceae.